UACGAAGGGGGCUAGCGUUGCUCGGAAUUACUGGGCGUAAAGGGCUCGUAGGUGGCCAACUAAGUCGGACGUGAAAUCCCUCAGCUUAACUGGGGAACUGCGUCCGAUACUGGAUGGCUAGAGUUUGGGAGAGGGAUGCGGAAUUCCAGGUGUAGCGGUGAAAUGCGUAGAUAUCUGGAGGAACACCGGUGGCGAAGGCGGCAUCCUGGACCAACACUGACACUGAGGAGCGAAAGCCAGGGGAGCAAACGGG
Molecule: ribosomal RNA, 253 nt
Filed under: uncultured bacterium
Lineage: Bacteria
Description: partial 16S ribosomal RNA
Rfam family: Bacterial small subunit ribosomal RNA
Source: RNAcentral